UAAAUUUUCGCUUCUCUCACCUAAACCCAUGCUUUCCCUCUCCAACAACCAUGUUAAGCCAUGCCAUCAUCUUGGGUUUUGAGCUUCAAAAGGAGGAUGGGGCUAUCAUCAUUGGCAAAAUAGACGAGGACUUGAAGCUCUUUACUCGCAUGUCUUAGAAACCAAGAGAGGUUUGAAGUGGUAUUGUGCUAUGCAUGCUUCUUCUAAGCAAGGUAUUUCAAGAAGGAUUAUUGAUCUUGUCUUCUAGCGUGGGCUAGACUUUGAAGACCUCCAGUUUCGCGCUGGGCAAUCGGUGGAACAAGAACAGUAUUUGACUCGGGCCAUCGAGGUAAAACAAAUGGACUCCAAUAUUCAAACUUGGGUGCCGCCGAGGUAAAACAAUUGGCUAUAGUAAGUUUGGGAGAUGUAUAAUUAUGAGAAAACUGUUACAUUUGGAAUUUGUAUUUUGUGUCAAAUCAUUUUGUUUUGGAGAAUUUAUUUGAUAAUUAUCACACUAUGAUAUUUGAUUUA
Molecule: long non-coding RNA, 510 nt
Organism: Dioscorea cayenensis subsp. rotundata (Guinea yam)
Lineage: Eukaryota; Viridiplantae; Streptophyta; Magnoliopsida; Dioscoreales; Dioscoreaceae
Exons: 3
Source: RefSeq, a predicted model, not a curated record